CAGUCGAGCGAAUGGAUUGAGAGCUUGCUCUCAAGAAGUUAGCGGCGGACGGGUGAGUAACACGUGGGUAACCUGCCCAUAAGACUGGGAUAACUCCGGGAAACCGGGGCUAAUACCGGAUAACAUUUUGAACUGCAUGGUUCGAAAUUGAAAGGCGGCUUCGGCUGUCACUUAUGGAUGGACCCGCGUCGCAUUAGCUAGUUGGUGAGGUAACGGCUCACCAAGGCAACGAUGCGUAGCCGACCUGAGAGGGUGAUCGGCCACACUGGGACUGAGACACGGCCCAGACUCCUACGGGAGGCAGCAGUAGGGAAUCUUCCGCAAUGGACGAAAGUCUGACGGAGCAACGCCGCGUGAGUGAUGAAGGCUUUCGGGUCGUAAAACUCUGUUGUUAGGGAAGAACAAGUGCUAGUUGAAUAAGCUGGCACCUUGACGGUACCUAACCAGAAAGCCACGGCUAACUACGUGCCAGCAGCCGCGGUAAUACGUAGGUGGCAAGCGUUAUCCGGAAUUAUUGGGCGUAAAGCGCGCGCAGGUGGUUUCUUAAGUCUGAUGUGAAAGCCCACGGCUCAACCGUGGAGGGUCAUUGGAAACUGGGAGACUUGAGUGCAGAAGAGGAAAGUGGAAUUCCAUGUGUAGCGGUGAAAUGCGUAGAGAUAUGGAGGAACACCAGUGGCGAAGGCGACUUUCUGGUCUGUAACUGACACUGAGGCGCGAAAGCGUGGGGAGCAAA
This 733-nucleotide ribosomal RNA is filed under the name Bacillus thuringiensis. Its description in RNAcentral is "bacterial SSU rRNA". It matches the Rfam family "Bacterial small subunit ribosomal RNA", at positions 59 to 772 of the family's 1533-position model. The record is from RNAcentral. Lineage: Bacteria; Bacillati; Bacillota; Bacilli; Caryophanales; Bacillaceae.